GUGAAAUAUGAUUAAAAGGGAAUCGGGUGCAAGUCCCGGACAGUCCCGCUGCUGUGAUCUCCUUAUAAAAGGUUGCGAUAAAUACUUGUGCCACUGUUUUUAUUUAAAAUGGGAAGGCUAUCGAAACCGGAGUCAGUCAGAAGACCUGCCAUACGUUUUU
This 160-nucleotide non-coding RNA is filed under the name Coprobacter secundus. The record is from RNAcentral. Lineage: Bacteria; Pseudomonadati; Bacteroidota; Bacteroidia; Bacteroidales; Barnesiellaceae.